Non-coding RNA from Caretta caretta (loggerhead turtle), 1279 nucleotides. Lineage: Eukaryota; Metazoa; Chordata; Testudines; Cheloniidae. The record is from RefSeq and is a predicted model, not a curated record.
CAGGGCUCUCUGCUACAACUUCGUAAGUUCUCUCUUGCAGAUUGUGGUGUUGGCUUUCAUGGGCUUGAAAGUCUGCUGGACUUAAAUACUUCAGAUUUUGAAUUUUUACCCUUUCACUGCAGGCAUUGUGCAUCAAUGAAAGCAUUUUUCCAACUUGUAGUGUUCAGUUUCUUAGCUGGUCAGGUCAACCUUACUCUGCUCAAUGGUGACCCAGAUGCUAUGUAAUUGUCCUGUGCUUGAAUUACAGCGCUGUACCCUCAAGAUGUUAAUUUCGUACAACAAUAAGUAUAGCAAUUAAGGCUUUGUUUCAACCAUUCUUUGUCUGAUUUAAUAGUUGGAUGAGAAAUCACAUUCCAAAACAGGUGCUCUAAACUUCUUUUAGAGGUAGAAGAGAAAUUUGUCUAAUCCCUCAUGUCACGUAUGAGCUUUUAAGGGCUGGGUCUGUGCUCCGAGGUAACAGCAGUUUUUAGGUUUAAUACCUUCCAUACGAGAGACUUUCAAGGGCUUGCUGUUUUAACAUUGACUCUUUAACAGGGGACUCUUAAAACAUUAGUGCUGCAACCUAACAGACCACUACCUUCUAAAUAUACACUGCUUCUCCAGUGAGGCAUGCCAGCUAAUCAAUGAAGCCUUUCUGAGUGGGUUUAAGGUGGUUUUCUCAGACUGGUUUAAAAACACAGAAAUCCCUGUGCUCAAUGGUUGUACUGUGAAAAUGAAUAUGGUGCUGAACAGUAUGUAGAAACACCUUUUGCGGUCUAUAUUUGAAAUAUGUGAUGUAUCAACCAAGCACCAGUCCUCCUGUCUAUACUCUGUUCUGUAUUUCAUACAUUUCUUCUGAGUAAGGUAUUUGGACUACCUGACUCUACACAAACACCAGGGAGGAAGGGAAAGGAAGGUCUGAUGGAAACUCUUGUGGGUGAUCCUAGAGUACAGAAUAGGACAGAGCCUUUUAGCUUUAUUAUGGAAUACAUGCCAUGAACAAAUGUAUCGUAACAUUGACAAGAUGAGAUCAGGUUUAGCUGACUGUUUGCAGAGCUGAAAGACUUGACUCUCAGUAGCAGAGGUCUCAAUAUGACAGUCAUGUUCAGGAAAAGUUGGUUUAGAGUUUUAGACAAAAUGUUUUCAAUAUUUGAGUUAAAGUAGCUGGGUUCUUGGACAAGAAACAGCCUUCAAAAGACUCUUUUCAUGGGAUGAUGGAUUUUUUUUGUAUUGAGUUUAGGCAUUACUCUUUGUGGUUAAAUGAUACUAUGUAAGUACAGAAUAAAUCUGAUCAAAUGUC